Molecule: non-coding RNA, 21 nt
Filed under: Rattus norvegicus (Norway rat)
Lineage: Eukaryota; Metazoa; Chordata; Mammalia; Rodentia; Muridae
Source: RNAcentral
CUUGAGGGGCAGACUCGCCAG